UUGGUUAAGUUAGAAAGGGCGCACGGUGGAUGCCUUGGCACUAGGAGCCGAAGAAGGACGGGACUAACACCGAUAUGCUUUGGGGAGCUGUACGUAAGCGUUGAUCCAGAGAUUUCCGAAUGGGGGAACCCACUAUCUUUAGUCGGAUAGUAUCCUUACGUGAAUACAUAGCGUGAGGAAGGCAGACCCAGGGAACUGAAACAUCUAAGUACCUGGAGGAAGAGAAAGAAAAAUCGAUUUCCUGAGUAGCGGCGAGCGAAACGGAAAGAGCCCAAACCAAGAAGCUUGCUUCUUGGGGUUGUAGGACACUCUAUACGGAGUUACAAAAGAAAGUUAUAAAUGAAGCGGUCUGGAAAGGCCCGCCAAAGACGGUAACAGCCCGGUAGUUGAAAUGGCUUUCCCUCCAGAGUGGAUCCUGAGUACGGCGGAACACGUGAAAUUCCGUCGGAAUCCGGGAGGACCAUCUCCCAAGGCUAAAUACUCCCUAGUGACCGAUAGUGAACCAGUACCGUGAGGGAAAGGUGAAAAGCACCCCGGAAGGGGAGUGAAACAGUUCCUGAAACCGUGUGCCUACAAGUAGUUAGAGCCCGUUAAUGGGUGAUAGCGUGCCUUUUGUAGAAUGAACCGGCGAGUUACGAUUUGUUGCAAGGUUAAGCGGAAAAAGCGGAGCCGUAGCGAAAGCGAGUCUGAAUAGGGCGCAUAAGUAACAGGUCGUAGACCCGAAACCAGGUGAUCUACCCAUGUCCAGGAUGAAGGUAAGGUAAUACUUACUGGAGGUCCGAACCCACGCACGUUGAAAAGUGCGGGGAUGAGGUGUGGGUAGCGGAGAAAUUCCAAUCGAACUUGGAGAUAGCUGGUUCUCUCCGAAAUAGCUUUAGGGCUAGCCUCGAGGUAAAGAGUCAUGGAGGUAGAGCACUGUUUGGACUAGGGGCCCUUCUCGGGUUACCGAAUUCAGAUAAACUCCGAAUGCCAUGUACUUAUACUCGGGAGUCAGACUGCGAGUGAUAAGAUCCGUAGUCGAAAGGGAAACAGCCCAGACCACCAGUUAAGGUCCCCAAAUAUAUGUUAAGUGGAAAAGGAUGUGGGGUUGCUUAGACAACCAGGAUGUUGGCUUAGAAGCAGCCACCAUUGAAAGAGUGCGUAAUAGCUCACUGGUCGAGUGACCCCGCGCCGAAAAUGUACCGGGGCUAAACAUAUUACCGAAACUGUGGAUGAACCUCUUUAGAGGUUCGUGGUAGGAGAGCGUUCUAAGGGCGGUGAAGUCAGACCGGAAGGACUGGUGGAGCGCUUAGAAGUGAGAAUGCCGGUAUGAGUAGCGAAAGAAGGGUGAGAAUCCCUUCCACCGAAUAUCUAAGGUUUCCUGAGGAAGGCUCGUCCGCUCAGGGUUAGUCGGGACCUAAGCCGAGGCCGAUAGGCGUAGGCGAUGGACAACAGGUAGAGAUUCCUGUACCAGUGCUAAUUGUUUAACCGAUGGGGUGACACAGAAGGAUAGGGAAUCGCACGAAUGGAAAUGUGCGUCCAAGCAGUGAGUGUGAGAAGUAGGCAAAUCCGCUUCUCG
Molecule: ribosomal RNA, 1558 nt
Filed under: Listeria monocytogenes
Lineage: Bacteria; Bacillati; Bacillota; Bacilli; Caryophanales; Listeriaceae
Description: partial 23S ribosomal RNA
Rfam family: Bacterial large subunit ribosomal RNA
Source: RNAcentral